UGGGAAUGCAGCCCAAAGCGGGUGGUA
RNAcentral lists this non-coding RNA (27 nucleotides) under Danio rerio (zebrafish). The record is from RNAcentral. RNAcentral also lists the same sequence under 3 other names. Lineage: Eukaryota; Metazoa; Chordata; Actinopteri; Cypriniformes; Danionidae.